GAUGCUUAUUUCUAGAGAUAGAAAGUUACUUCGGUACAUCGGUGACAGGUGGUGCAUGGUUGUCGUCAGCUCGUGUCGUGAGAUGUUGGGUUAAGUCCCGCAACGAGCGCAACCCCUAUUGUUAGUUGCCAUCAUUCAAUUGGGCACUCUAGCGAGACUGCCGGUAAUAAACCGGAGGAAGUGGGAUGACGUCAAAUCAUCAUGCCCCUUAUGACCUGGGCUACACACGUGCUACAAUGGUUGGUACAACGAGUUGCGAGUCGGUGACGGCGAGCUAAUCUCUUAAAGCCAAUCUCAGUUCGGAUUGUAGGCUGCAACUCGCCUACAUGAAGUCGGAAUCGCUAGUAAUCGCGGAUCAGCACGCCGCGGUGAAUACGUUCCCGGGCCUU
RNAcentral lists this ribosomal RNA (389 nucleotides) under uncultured Streptococcus sp. RNAcentral describes it as "bacterial SSU rRNA". It matches the Rfam family "Bacterial small subunit ribosomal RNA", at positions 991 to 1382 of the family's 1533-position model. The record is from RNAcentral. Lineage: Bacteria; Bacillati; Bacillota; Bacilli; Lactobacillales; Streptococcaceae.